UUUUAUGAGAGUUUGAUCCUGGCUCAGGACGAACGCUGGCGGCGUGCCUAAUACAUGCAAGUCGAACGCUUCUUUUUCCACCGGAGCUUGCUCCACCGGAAAAAGAAGAGUGGCGAACGGGUGAGUAACACGUGGGUAACCUGCCCAUCAGAAGGGGAUAACACUUGGAAACAGGUGCUAAUACCGUAUAACAAU
RNAcentral lists this ribosomal RNA (195 nucleotides) under Enterococcus faecium. RNAcentral's name for it is "partial 16S ribosomal RNA". It matches the Rfam family "Bacterial small subunit ribosomal RNA", at positions 1 to 180 of the family's 1533-position model. Lineage: Bacteria; Bacillati; Bacillota; Bacilli; Lactobacillales; Enterococcaceae. The record is from RNAcentral.